GACGAACGCUGGCGGCGUGCCUAAUACAUGCAAGUGGGGCGCAAGGAAACACACUGUGCUUGCACACCGUGUUUUCUUGAGUCGCGAACGGGUGAGUAACGCGUAGGUAACCUGCCUAUUAGCGGGGGAUAACUAUUGGAAACGAUAGCUAAUACCGCAUAAUAUUAAUUAUUGCAUGAUAAUUGAUUGAAAGAUGCAAGCGCAUCACUAGUAGAUGGACCUGCGUUGUAUUAGCUAGUUGGUAAGGUAAGAGCUUACCAAGGCGACGAUACAUAGCCGACCUGAGAGGGUGAUCGGCCACACUGGGACUGAGACACGGCCCAGACUCCUACGGGAGGCAGCAGUAGGGAAUCUUCGGCAAUGGACGAAAGUCUGACCGAGCAACGCCGCGUGAGUGAAGAAGGGUUUCGGAUCGUAAAGCUCUGUUGUAAGUCAAGAACGUGUGUGAGAGUGGAAAGUUCACACAGUGACGGUAGCUUACCAGAAAGGGACGGCUAACUACGUG
RNAcentral lists this ribosomal RNA (505 nucleotides) under uncultured bacterium. RNAcentral describes it as "partial 16S ribosomal RNA". It matches the Rfam family "Bacterial small subunit ribosomal RNA", at positions 28 to 507 of the family's 1533-position model. The record is from RNAcentral.